Molecule: long non-coding RNA, 2319 nt
Filed under: Triticum aestivum (bread wheat)
Lineage: Eukaryota; Viridiplantae; Streptophyta; Magnoliopsida; Poales; Poaceae
Description: long non-coding RNA (TAES_LNC028471)
Source: RNAcentral
UCACAUAGCACAGGGAGCAGAGAUCCCCCAAACCAUCAGAACCGGAAACCAAAGACGGAAAUAAAAAAUCAUCAGGUCACACUUAGGGUGGACACGGUCCGGUCCGGUCCGGUCCUUGACCGAGCCGUCGUUCGGACCGGCCGGCGGCGGUCCGGACCGGACCGGACCGAGCAACCGAGCGGUCCUACUUUUAUGGACCGGACCGGCGACGGUGAAGCCCGGGCUAGACCGAAUGGACCGAAUGGACCGGCCAGCCAUCGGCGUUGAUGUGCGCGCAUGCAGCUUCGAGGUGGGCUACGUGUUAGAUCAAGAACUGAAUCAACACACACACGGGAGGUCACGCGAGAAAGUAAAAGAGAAAGAAGACACGCACGAACGCAUUAAGUGGAGAGGAUUCUGCGACGCACAACUGUCUUUCUGCUCUUCCUUUUAUUCAGCUCGUAAUUCGAUAUAACCGGGCCACUUUCAGAGCAUUCGAGAUCGUGCCCCAGUUCUUCCUGUGGCACCAGCGUGGCGUUCGCCUACCUGGGUAGCUGGUGGCCGCCUGGCCGGUGUGCAUGCUGUGCUGAAAUAACGCGCCAUGCAAGGUGUGCAUAUCCACGUCUUAUCUUAGUUUCAGGUUAGUUAGAUGAGGCCGUUGUGGGAGGUCGUGGGAUGGCACGAUUUCAGCUCGUGGACGUGGGAUGGCACGGCCGCAAUUCCCGUUCCUUUGAGUAGAGGCCAUGGUCGAGGCUCGAGAACUCCAGAUCGGCAGUAGUGCACGCACAACAACAAUGGCAAGCAGCGGCAAGAGGCCACGGCGCAUGGGGUGAAGAGGAAGGAUGAAGAGAGGAAGCUCAAGGACACGAUGGUUCACCCGGGGACUGCCGAUGGCCGCGAUGACGAGGAACGGUGCCAGCGGUGACUGCGUCUUCUCGGUCUGACCGAGCGGCUCGGUUAAAGACCGGACCGACCGAGAUUUUUUCGGGCCGAAAAUGCCAGCCCGGACCGACCAGUUUUUCCGCCGGUCCUGAACCGUACGGUCCGGUCCUUAACAGGCCACGAGCAGGCCCAAAAGCCCGCUCGUUCCGUCCAGCCUGAGGUCACACUACUCGACUGCACACUGCACAGCCGGUCAAAUACCUGUAAAAAGGAUUAAAACAAAAUAAGAACCCAAAUAAAAAACAGUCACAUUUAAAUAGAAAAUAGCCCGUAUUCACCACGAAAGGAACCAUCUGGUCGCUUUCCACGCCGAACUUCUUGCCAUCGCCAGCGCGCUUAAAUUGGAGGCAUAUCCAAUAAAGAAACUACGAGACCAUCGAAGGAAACAACAAAGAAUCACCGAUGAGAAACCAUACUAAAACAAACACCACUAAUGAAGCAUUUUUCUUCAGAAAAUCAGGACAGCAUACCAAAAGCAGCAACAAAAUACCCACGAAGAAGCGGCGCCUCAGAGUCCCACGUCCGGAAUAAUCCCCGGCCACUUCAGCGAACCGAAGAACGAACCUAUGGUCGCCGACCAGAGCGUCGUUCAGCAGGUGAACCAUAUGAACCCCAAAAGGAAUGAAAGCACAGGAUACAAAGACAAGAAAGGCAGCAUGUACCUGAUUCGCUUCACAAACGCCUGUCAAAGCGGCAACCACCUAAAACAGAAGCAAGCAGCAGCCGCUGAAGCCCUAUACAAAAUAAUAUGGAGGGGCUCACCAGUGAGGACUAAAAGACCACACCCAAGGCGUUCAUGUGGCGGAAGGGGAGAUGCAGCCGGGGUCGGGGCAUGAUUUGGAAGAUGAACUGCGCUCUGAUGAUGACCCGCAGCAAACUGCCGGUGCUGCUGGAGCUGCACCUCGAUCAGAAGCUGAGGCUGAGACGGCCCCAUGGCGGACGCCGGCGGUGGCCGGAAGGCCUCCCCCUCUCCGUCGUGCUUCAACAGGCACAACUCAGCAUCGACCUCUCCCUCAAGGAGCCCUACAUCUCCACCGCGUUUGCGCCGAUGGCGAACGUCCUGGCCGACGUCGCCGGAGUCGCGAUUAGAGAGGAGAGGUGCCGACUGCCCCUGAAAGUCACCAACGGCAACGGUGUGGACGACCCUCUUGAGAGGGCUGGCCUGCUCCUCAUCGCCGCCGAGCUGCUCCAACCCUAGCUCGAUGAACGACGUCGCGUAGGGGCUGGCCGGCGACUAGGUUGGGGAGAAUGGGGGUGCGCGCCCGUGCAGAGAUGGAGGAGAGGGAGCAGCGGCCCGCCGGCGACCAGGUUGGGGAGGAUGGGGGUGCGCGCCCAUGCAGAGGAUGAGAGGAGGCAGCGGAUGUGUAGUGCUGGGUUGGGAAAAAGAAUGGUCGGAUG